RNA transcript from Pseudomyrmex gracilis, 1314 nucleotides. RefSeq lists it as uncharacterized. The record is from RefSeq and is a predicted model, not a curated record. Lineage: Eukaryota; Metazoa; Arthropoda; Insecta; Hymenoptera; Formicidae. The transcript is spliced from 8 exons.
CAGAUCGGCGCCACCGUGUUCACCAUCGGCGACUAUACUAAGUCCACACUUUUGGCGGCAGUCGUUCAGUUUAAGGUCCAAUCCCCGAACCGAACGGUCGCCCGAAAAAUACUUAGCGAACGAGUGUGGUUAGCAGUUCGAUAGAGUGGCAAAAUGGACGCGCGAUUCAGAAGCAAUCUCGACAUGAUCGGGCGCAAUGAACCCAUCACAAGGAAGGCGAAAUUUUGGCAGAGUUACGUACGGGCCCUGAAAGGCACCGACGACAUCAGAGCUCCCGAACACACUCACAGACCCCGCGGCAUUUUCCGCUCGGAUUUUCCUGAGCUGCAUUCCACCUCGUGGCCGUUUGGAAAGUCUAUCUUCGAAAAUCCGAUUCACGCAGCCGACCGCAUCAAUGUUCCCGGAUACAGGUAUCUACCCGUGCACCGUGAGAUCUACGGUUACUCGCCGAGACAACUGUAUCCCCAUCAGUACAAACCCGUAGAACGCUUCACCCCCGCGAGACCAUUCGACGCCGAGAAAGCUUGGAACGAUCAUCUAAAUCGCUUGGCGGACAUCGACAGACUUUAUCCAAGCAAAUCACCGCUCCUGGCUCGUCAUUUGAGUCCGCCGCUCAGCUUAAAACGAUUGUUCGAUAUUCACGGUAAUCCCGUGGACGACGACUUCUUACUGCCGAACCCGUCGGUGUUGCUGCGCAAGAAGCCGCUCUUCGAUCUCCUGGAACCGUCCCCGAUGGCACCCAUCAGCGCGUUCACCAGAGACCCAUGGUGGUAUCCGAGCUACGCGCCCUACAUCCCGAGCUACGCUCAGCUCCGCACGCCCUUUUACCUGAGAGACAGUUACCUCAGCCCGAUCAAGCGUAGCUACCUGUGGACCCGACAUCCCAUCAGGCCUUUCGAAUGCGUUACCAGAAUGUUCUUUAAUCCUUGCGGUAAUUAUUAAAUUGCCGAGCCGUUGCCCCCUUCGGUGAGGAGCCGCUGACAGAAUCUCGAAUACCAUACAUGCGCUCACGCCUACUGAUGACCGUCCGGCACCGACACGGAACAAGCGUGUGAAAGAAACAAAAAGAAAAGCCGACGAUAAAAGAGAAAUAAAAUGUCCGAGAGAAAACUCGACGAAAAAAAAAAAAAAAAAAAAAAAAAAAACAAAACGAAAGAAAACUUUGCAUCACGCACCGGAGAAAAAUUUUGGCGUAUCUCAUUAUGCAGUGCAUAUCGUUUUCACGGAAUUUUAUUUAUUAACAUUUCCCGUCGUACGAUUUAUUGUACUGUUCAUCCGUAAGAAAUAAAAUAAACACUGCCAAAAUUUUAUUUA